ACCUACAAAGAGGGUGUCUCACCGAAAGGUAGCUAAAACCUCUCCAGAACGGCGCACGGAACUGUGGAGACACAGCGGAAGGCUCCUCUGGAGCCUCAUAUCUGGGCCGAACCCUAGACCCAGCGCUUCAAGGAGCCCCUCGCUUGGAUCACAGACUGUGAAAUUCUUGACGGGCAGAAUGAUGGGCAACUCCAAAGCUGAGACUCCAGCUCAGUGACUGACAUAAAGUAUGAACAAUCCAGAAAUAGCCUUUGCUGAGAGUUCUUUCACUUCCUGGCACGGAUUCAAGUUUUCUCCCCAACUUGCCUCAGCCUUGACAACAUCACGUUUUAGUACUAAAUGACGAGCUGCUGUUUGGGAUGCUGUUAAUACAUUAACUUAACUUUUGAAUGACAUGAAUUUUUCAAAAAAAAUUAACAUUAUGAGUAAAAGUGCUAUUUUUUUUUCCAAGAUAGGGUUUCUCUGUAUAGUCUCGGCUGUCCUGGAACUCACUGUGUAGACCAGGUUGGCCUCAAACUCAGAAAUCUGCCUGUCUCUGCCUCCCAAGUGCUGAGAUUAAAGGCAUGUGCUACCACUGCCAGGCUAAAAGUACUACUUAUGAUAAUGUGUGACUGUAGGUUUUCAAUUCCUUUGGAUAAAUGCCAGGGACAUGUUUGUUGGAUAGUUUAAUAAAUGUAGUUAGCUUUCUGUGAAACCUACAAGCUAUCUUCCAAGGGGAUUAUCUUAAUCCCCACCAGUAAAGAAUGGCAGUCUCAGGUCCUACAUUCAAUAAAUACCAAUUU
Long non-coding RNA from Mus musculus (house mouse), 782 nucleotides. RefSeq annotates it as RIKEN cDNA 2700069I18 gene. NCBI's taxonomy places the organism in Eukaryota, Metazoa, Chordata, Mammalia, Rodentia, Muridae. The record is from RefSeq and is marked validated. The transcript has 3 exons.